AUGAAAGAUCAAUUUUCCGGCCUUCCCAAUGAAGAUGUCGCAUCCCAUCUUAAUAAUUUUGUUGAUUUUUGUUAUAUGCAAAAGAAAAAAGAUAUGGAUAAUGAUAUUGUUAAAUUGAAGCUAUUUCCGUUCUCGCUUCGAGAUCGUGCUAAAACUCGGUUUUCAUCUUUGCCUAAAAACAGUAUUGAUUCAUGGAAUAAGUGUAAAGAUGCUUUUAUUUCCAUGUAUUUUCCUCCUGCUAAAAUCAUCUCCCUUAGGAACGAUAUUAUGAAUUUUAAGCAACUUGAUCAUGAACAUGCACUACUGCAGGAUGCUGCUAACGUGACACUACGAUCAAAGACCCUUCGACGAAACUGUGUGCGAUGCCAUAACCGCAAACGGUGGUGUAAAAAACCAUCAAAAAAGGUGCAAAAUGUUUGCGAUGGAGGAUGCAUCAAACACCGUGCAGAUUUUAGUAGCGUGUGCGAUGCAGGGCAUACGGUUCAGCUCAAUUAA
This 495-nucleotide ribosomal RNA is filed under the name Triticum aestivum (bread wheat). RNAcentral describes it as "partial small subunit ribosomal RNA". Lineage: Eukaryota; Viridiplantae; Streptophyta; Magnoliopsida; Poales; Poaceae. The record is from RNAcentral.